GUGUAGGAUAGGUGGGAGGCUUUGAAGCGUGGACGCCAGUCUGCGUGGAGCCGACCUUGAAAUACCACCCUUUAAUGUUUGAUGUUCUAACGUGGACCCGUGAUCCGGGUUGCGGACAGUGUCUGGUGGGUAGUUUGACUGGGGCGGUCUCCUCCUAAAGAGUAACGGAGGAGCACGAAGGUUGGCUAAUCCUGGUCGGACAUCAGGAGGUUAGUGCAAUGGCAUAAGCCAGCUUGACUGCGAGCGUGACGGCGCGAGCAGGUGCGAAAGCAGGUCAUAGUGAUCCGGUGGUUCUGAAUGGAAGGGCCAUCGCUCAACGGAUAAAAGGUACUCCGGGGAUAACAGGCUGAUACCGCCCAAGAGUUCAUAUCGACGGCGGUGUUUGGCACCUCGAUGUCGGCUCAUCACAUCCUGGGGCUGAAGUAGGUCCCAAGGGUAUGGCUGUUCGCCAUUUAAAGUGGUACGCGAGCUGGGUUUAGAACGUCGUGAGACAGUUCGGUCCCUAUCUGCCGUGGGCGCUGGAGAACUGAGGGGGGCUGCUCCUAGUACGAGAGGACCGGAGUGGACGCAUCACUGGUGUUCGGG
This 585-nucleotide ribosomal RNA is filed under the name Salmonella enterica subsp. enterica serovar Anatum. RNAcentral describes it as "partial 23S ribosomal RNA". It matches the Rfam family "Bacterial large subunit ribosomal RNA", at positions 2136 to 2720 of the family's 2925-position model. The record is from RNAcentral. Lineage: Bacteria; Pseudomonadati; Pseudomonadota; Gammaproteobacteria; Enterobacterales; Enterobacteriaceae.